Non-coding RNA from Triticum aestivum (bread wheat), 125 nucleotides. NCBI's taxonomy places the organism in Eukaryota, Viridiplantae, Streptophyta, Magnoliopsida, Poales, Poaceae. The record is from Rfam.
GAAAUACUCCCUCCGUCCGGAAAUACUUGUCAUCAAAAUGGAUGAAAAUCGAUGUAUCUACAACUAAAAUACAUUUAGAUACAUCCAUUUCAAUGACAAGUAUUUCGGAACGGAUGGAGUAUUUA